Long non-coding RNA from Drosophila yakuba, 1016 nucleotides. RefSeq lists it as uncharacterized. NCBI's taxonomy places the organism in Eukaryota, Metazoa, Arthropoda, Insecta, Diptera, Drosophilidae. The transcript is spliced from 2 exons. The record is from RefSeq and is a predicted model, not a curated record.
UUCGUUAUACUUCGUUUUUUUCUCAGCUAUUACUUCGAUUACUAAUUUGAUUUUUAGGUCUCUGUGUAUGUUUUCGUUCCGAAGGUACCACGGCGCUCCAGUGAUAAUUCUCAGAAUUCUUGACUGUGCUCGCUGAAUAAUGUCUAUGUUACUUCUGGAUGCGUUGCCCCACAGCUCGGAGCCAUAAGUCCAGAUAGGUUUUAAGACGGAGUUGUAUAGAAGAGCUUUGAACUCCAGACUAAGUGGAGAGCGAGCAUUUAUGAGCCAGUGGAGGUUCCUUGCUUUAAGUUUAAGAUGUGUCGAUUUGGCUUCUAUAUGUUUGCGCCAAGUGAGCCGCCUGUCCAGAUGAACACCCAGAUAUGUUACCUCGUCGGCUUGUGGAAUGCAUAUGUUAUUCAAGACCAGUGGUGGGCAUGUUUGUUUGUUUAAGGUAAAGGUAACCUGCUUGCAUUUUUGAACAUUUAUUGAAAUUCUCCAGUCGGCAAGCCAUCGUUCUACAGAUGUUAAGUGUCGGGAUAGGAGUGCCGUGGCUUUUAUUGGGCAUUUGGAGCGACUGAGUAUCGCGGUAUCAUCAGCGAACGUGGAGGUUGUUAGAUUGUAGUCUAUGGGGAAAUCCGCCGUAUACAGGGUGUAUAAGAUUGGACCCAGUACACUGCCUUGCGGCACUCCAGCUUCGAUUGCGCAAUCGCGUGAAGUGCUGUAUCGCAUCUUAUUGCAAACACUCUGUUAUAUAGGUAUGACUUCAGUAGCUUAUGUGUGUUUUGGGGCAACAGCUUGAUUAUUUUAAACAAAAGUCCAUCGAGCCACACUCUGUCAAAUGCCUGCGCGACGUCUAGAAAAAUGGCUGUGCAGUAUUCUCGAUGUUCAAAAGCAGUACGAAUUUCUGAUGUGAUUCGAUUGACCUGUUCGAUGGUUCCAUGUUUUUCUCUAAAGCCAAAUUGAUGUGUUGGAAGUGUGUUGUUUAUUCUAAGAUGAGGGCUAAUCCGAAGGAGUAGCAUUUUUUCAAACAGCUUUGA